CAUAUCAAUAAGCGGAGGAAAAGAAACCAACAGGGAUUGCCUCAGUAACGGCGAGUGAAGCGGCAACAGCUCAAAUUUGAAAUCUGGCCCCUCCGGGGUCCGAGUUGUAAUUUGAAGAGGGUGUUUCGGGUGAGGCACCGGCCUAAGUCCCUUGGAACAGGGCGUCAUAGAGGGUGAGAAUCCCGUCUGCGGCCGGUGACCGAGUCCAUGUGAAACCCCUUCGACGAGUCGAGUUGUUUGGGAAUGCAGCUCUAAAUGGGUGGUAUAUUUCAUCUAAAGCUAAAUACCGGCCAGAGACCGAUAGCGCACAAGUAGAGUGAUCGAAAGAUGAAAAGCACUUUGGAAAGAGAGUUAAAAAGUACGUGAAAUUGUUGAAAGGGAAGCGCUUGCCACCAGACCUGUCGUCGGGUGAUCAGCCGUCGUUCUCGACGGUGCACUCGCCCGUUCGCAGGCCAGCAUCGGUUCGGGCGGUCGGAUAAAGGCCCCGGGAAUGUAGCUUCCUCCGGGGAGUCUUAUAGCCCGGGGUGCAAUGCGGCCAGCCGGGACCGAGGACCGCGCUUCGGCAAGGAUGCUGGCGUAAUGGUUGCAAAGCGGCCGUCUUGAAACACGGACCAAGGAGUCUAACAUCUAUGCCGAGUGUUUGGGUGUCAAACCCGUGCGCGGAAUGAAAGUGAACGGAGGUGGGAACCCCUUGAGGGCGCACCAUCGACCGAUCCAGAUGUCUUCGGAUGGAUUUGAGUAAGAGCAUAGCUGUUGGGACCCGAAAGAUGGUGAACUAUGCCUGAAUAGGGUGAAGCCAGAGGAAACUCUGGUGGAGGCUCGCAGCGGUUCUGACGUGCAAAUCGAUCGUCAAAUUUGGGUAUAGGGGCGAAAGACUAAUCGAACCAUCUAGUAGCUGGUUCCUGUCGAAGUUUCCCUCAGGAUAGCAGUAACGUUUUCAGUUUUAUGAGGUAAAGCGAAUGAUUAGAGUCCUUGGGGAUGAAACAUCCUUAAACUAUUCUCAAACUUUAAAUAUGUAAGAAGUCCUUGUUACUUAGUUGAACGUGGACAUUUGAAUGCACCGUUACUAGUGGGCCAUUUUUGGUAAGCAGAACUGGCGAUGCGGGAUGAACCGAACGUGGGGUUAAGGUGCCGGAAUGCACGCUCAUCAGACACCACACACGGUGUUAAUUCAUCCAGACAGCAGGACGGUGGCCAUGGAAGUCGGAACCCGCUAAGGAGUGUGUAACAACUCACCUGCCGAAUGAAUUAGCCCUGAAAAUGGAUGGCGCUCAAGCGUGCUACCUAUACCCCGCCGCCAGGGUAGAAACGAUGCCCUGGCGAGUAGGCAGGCGUGGGGGUCGNUGACGAAGCCUUGCGAGUGAACC
This 1367-nucleotide ribosomal RNA is filed under the name Calicium adspersum. RNAcentral's name for it is "LSU rRNA". It matches the Rfam family "Eukaryotic large subunit ribosomal RNA", at positions 39 to 1423 of the family's 3401-position model. The record is from RNAcentral. Lineage: Eukaryota; Fungi; Ascomycota; Lecanoromycetes; Caliciales; Caliciaceae.